UACGUAGGGGGCAAGCGUUGUCCGGAUUUAUUGGGCGUAAAGAGCGUGUAGGCGGCCAUGUAGGUCCGUUGUGAAAACUCGAGGCUCAACCUCGAGACGCCGAUGGAAACCAUGUGGCUAGAGUCCGGAAGAGGAGAGUGGAAUUCCUGGUGUAGCGGUGGAAUGCGCAGAUAUCAGGAGGAACACCAAUAGCGAAGGCAGCUCGCUGGGACGGUACUGACGCUCAGGCGCGAAAGCGUGGGGAGCAAACAGG
Molecule: ribosomal RNA, 253 nt
Filed under: uncultured bacterium
Lineage: Bacteria
Description: partial 16S ribosomal RNA
Rfam family: Bacterial small subunit ribosomal RNA
Source: RNAcentral